UACGUAGGGGGCUAGCGUUGUCCGGAAUCAUUGGGCGUAAAGAGCGUGUAGGCGGCCCGGUAAGUCCGCUGUAAAAGUCAAAGGCUCAACCUUUGAAUGUCAGUGGAUACUGCCGGGCUCGAGUCCGGAAGAGGCGAGUGGAACUCCUGGUGUAGCGGUGGAAUGCGCAGAUAUCAGGAAGAACACCAACGGCGAAGGCAGCUCGCUAGGACGGUACUGACGCUGAGACGCGAAAGCGUGGGGAGCGAACAGG
RNAcentral lists this ribosomal RNA (253 nucleotides) under uncultured bacterium. RNAcentral's name for it is "partial 16S ribosomal RNA". It matches the Rfam family "Bacterial small subunit ribosomal RNA", at positions 524 to 776 of the family's 1533-position model. The record is from RNAcentral.